Molecule: ribosomal RNA, 402 nt
Filed under: uncultured bacterium
Lineage: Bacteria
Description: bacterial SSU rRNA
Rfam family: Bacterial small subunit ribosomal RNA
Source: RNAcentral
GGGGAAUAUUGCACAAUGGGCGAAAGCCUGAUGCAGCAACGCCGCGUGAAGGAUGAAGGUCUUCGGAUUGUAAACUUCUAUCAGCAGGGAAGAAUAAAUGACGGUACCUGACUAAGAAGCUCCGGCUAACUACGUGCCAGCAGCCGCGGUAAUACGUAGGGAGCAAGCGUUAUCCGGAUUUACUGGGUGUAAAGGGUGCGUAGGCGGCUUGGUAAGUCUAAAGUGAAAUUUCGGGGCUCAACCCCGGAGCUGAUUUGGAAACUGCCGAGCUAGAGUGUGGGAGAGGAAAGCGGAACUUUGAGUGUAGCGGUGAAAUGCGUAGAGAUUCAAAGGAACACCAGUAGCGAAGGCGGCUUUCUGGACCAUAACUGACGCUGAGGCACGAAAGCGUGGGGAGCAAAC